Molecule: unclassified non-coding RNA, 345 nt
Filed under: soil metagenome
Description: partial contains 5.8S ribosomal RNA, internal transcribed spacer 2, and large subunit ribosomal RNA
Rfam family: 5.8S ribosomal RNA (bases 1-120)
Source: RNAcentral
GAUGAAGAACGUAGCGAAAUGCGAUACGUAAUGUGAAUUGCAGAAUUCAGUGAAUCAUCGAGUCUUUGAACGCACAUUGCGCCCCCUGGUAUUCCGGGGGGCAUGCCUGUCCGAGCGUCAUUGCUGCCCUCAAGCACGGCUUAUGUGUUGGGCCUCCGUCCUCCUCCCGGGGGACGGGCCCGAAAGGCAGCGGCGGCACCGCGUCCGGUCCUCGAGCGUAUGGGGCUUCGUCACCCGCUCUUGUAGGCCCGGCCGGCGCUUGCCGACACAUCAAUCUUUUUUCCAGGUUGACCUCGGAUCAGGUAGGGAUACCCGCUGAACUUAAGCAUAUCAAUAAGCGGAGGA